RNAcentral lists this ribosomal RNA (779 nucleotides) under uncultured Enterobacteriaceae bacterium. Its description in RNAcentral is "bacterial SSU rRNA". It matches the Rfam family "Bacterial small subunit ribosomal RNA", at positions 720 to 1502 of the family's 1533-position model. Lineage: Bacteria; Pseudomonadati; Pseudomonadota; Gammaproteobacteria; Enterobacterales; Enterobacteriaceae. The record is from RNAcentral.
GGCGGCCUUCUGGACAGUACUGACGCUGAGAUGCGAAAGCGUGGGGAGCAAACAGGAUUAGAUACCUGGUAGUCACGCUGUAAACGAUGUCGAUUUGGAGUUUGUUGCCUAGAGUGAUGGGCUCCGAAGCUAACGCGAUAAAUCGACCGCCUGGGGAGUACGGCCGCAAGGUUAAAACUCAAAUGAAUUGACGGGGGCCCGCACAAGCGGUGGAGCAUGUGGUUUAAUUCGAUGCAACGCGAAGAACCUUACCUGGUCUUGACAUCCAUAGAAUUCUGCAGAGAUGUGGGAGUGCCUUCGGGAACUAUGAGACAGGUGCUGCAUGGCUGUCGUCAGCUCGUGUUGUGAAAUGUUGGGUUAAGUCCCGCAACGAGCGCAACCCUUAUUCUUUGUUGCCAGCGAUUUGGUCGGGAACUCAAAGGAGACUGCCGUUGAUAAAGCGGAGGAAGGUGGGGACGACGUCAAGUCAUCAUGGCCCUUACGACCAGGGCUACACACGUGCUACAAUGGCGUAUACAAAGGGAAGCGAAGGUGCGAGCUGGAGCGGAUCUCAUAAAGUACGUCUAAGUUCGGAUUGGAGUCUGCAACUCGACUCCAUGAAGUCGGAAUCGCUAGUAAUCGUAGAUCAGAAUGCUACGGUGAAUACGUUCCCGGGCCUUGUACACACCGCCCGUCACACCAUGGGAGUGGGUUGCACCAGAAGUAGAUAGCUUAACCGCGAGGGGGGCGUUUACCACGGUGUGAUUCAUGACUGGGGUGAAGUCGUAACAAGGUAACCA